GACGAACGCUGGCGGCGUGCCUAAUACAUGCAAGUAGAACGCUGAAGGAGGAGCUUGCUUCUCUGGAUGAGUUGCGAACGGGUGAGUAACGCGUAGGUAACCUGCCUGGUAGCGGGGGAUAACUAUUGGAAACGAUAGCUAAUACCGCAUAAUAGCAGUUGUUGCAUGAUAACUGUUUGAAAGGUGCAAUUGCACCACUACCAGAUGGACCUGCGUUGUAUUAGCUAGUUGGUGGGGUAACGGCUCACCAAGGCGACGAUACAUAGCCGACCUGAGAGGGUGAUCGGCCACACUGGGACUGAGACACGGCCCAGACUCCUACGGGAGGCAGCAGUAGGGAAUCUUCGGCAAUGGACGGAAGUCUGACCGAGCAACGCCGCGUGAGUGAAGAAGGUUUUCGGAUCGUAAAGCUCUGUUGUAAGAGAAGAACGAGUGUGAGAGUGGAAAGUUCACACUGUGACGGUAUCUUACCAGAAAGGGACGGCUAACUACGU
RNAcentral lists this ribosomal RNA (494 nucleotides) under uncultured bacterium. Its description in RNAcentral is "partial 16S ribosomal RNA". It matches the Rfam family "Bacterial small subunit ribosomal RNA", at positions 28 to 506 of the family's 1533-position model. The record is from RNAcentral.